This 497-nucleotide ribosomal RNA is filed under the name uncultured bacterium. Its description in RNAcentral is "partial 16S ribosomal RNA". It matches the Rfam family "Bacterial small subunit ribosomal RNA", at positions 28 to 507 of the family's 1533-position model. The record is from RNAcentral.
GAUGAACGCUGGCGGUGUGCCUAAUACAUGCAAGUCGAGCGAACAGACGAGGAGCUUACUCCUCUGACGUUAGCGGCGGACGGGUGAGUAACACGUGGAUAACCUACCUAUAAGACUGGGAUAACUUCGGGAAACCGGAGCUAAUACCGGAUAACAUGUUGAACCGCAUGGUUCAACAGUGAAAGACGGUCUUGCUGUCACUUAUAGAUGGAUCCGCGUCGCAUUAGCUAGUUGGUAAGGUAACGGCUUACCAAGGCAACGAUGCGUAGCCGACCUGAGAGGGGGAUCGGCCACACUGGAACUGAGACACGGUCCAGACUCCUACGGGAGGCAGCAGUAGGGAAUCUGCCGCAAUGGGCGAAAGCCUGACGGAGCAACGCCGCGUGAGUGAAGAAGGUCUUCGGAUCGUAAAACUCUGUUAUUAGGGAAGAACAAAUGUGUAAGUAACUAUGCACGUCUUGACGGUACCUAAUCAGAAAGCCACGGCUAACUACGUG